Molecule: non-coding RNA, 304 nt
Organism: Cinara cedri
Lineage: Eukaryota; Metazoa; Arthropoda; Insecta; Hemiptera; Aphididae
Source: the annotation of a GenBank genome assembly
UAAUAAGUGUUAACUGAUGACCCCUCACCACUAUGUAAGUGAUUCAUAACUAUAGCACACCCAAUAUUUGAACUCUAGUUGCGCCACUGGUGCCACAUCAUGAUUUGAAUCAACACACAAAAGAAAUCAAGUUUGCAUUGGAUAACAUUUUUGACAUUGGGGCAUUUCUAGAGAAGUUAGUUUUAUGGUUAGGUUGAUAAAAAGAACCCUGAAGUCUAGUGAUACUAGGAAUAUGAAAAUCAAGUAGAUUAAGGAGCCUUGGGGCAUCCACUCGACUAUCAACUAGCCCUCGAAUGAAAUUUAU